Molecule: non-coding RNA, 99 nt
Filed under: Cronobacter sakazakii
Lineage: Bacteria; Pseudomonadati; Pseudomonadota; Gammaproteobacteria; Enterobacterales; Enterobacteriaceae
Also listed under: 1 other name
Description: iscR stability element
Rfam family: iscR stability element
Source: RNAcentral
UCCCGAAUCAGGCCAGGAAGCUCCGGCAUCCUGUAGACUGCGGCGUACAUCCAGCCGGCUGCCUGAUUCACCGCUUUGAGAUGUACGGAGCUUAAGAGC